Molecule: ribosomal RNA, 506 nt
Filed under: uncultured bacterium
Lineage: Bacteria
Description: partial 16S ribosomal RNA
Rfam family: Bacterial small subunit ribosomal RNA
Source: RNAcentral
AGUGAACGCUGGCGGUAGGCCUAACACAUGCAAGUCGAACGGCAGCACAGGAGAGCUUGCUCUCUGGGUGGCGAGUGGCGGACGGGUGAGGAAUACAUCGGAAUCUACUCUGUCGUGGGGGAUAACGUAGGGAAACUUACGCUAAUACCGCAUACGACCUACGGGUGAAAGCAGGGGAUCUUCGGACCUUGCGCGAUUGAAUGAGCCGAUGUCGGAUUAGCUAGUUGGCGGGGUAAAGGCCCACCAAGGCGACGAUCCGUAGCUGGUCUGAGAGAAUGAUCAGCCCAACUGGAACUGAGACCAGGUCCAGGCUCCUACGGGAGGCAGCAGUGGGGAAUAUUGGACAAUGGGCGCAAGCCUGAUCCAGCCAUACCGCGUGGGUGAAGAAGGCCUUCGGGUUGUAAAGCCCUUUUGUUGGGAAAGAAAUCCAGCUGGCUAAUACCCGGUUGGGAUGACGGUACCCAAAGAAUAAGCACCGGCUAACUUCGUGCCAGCAGCCGCCGCAG